ACUAGGAAGGUGGGACGUUGGAGGGGCGGCCGCAUGGCGUGAUUACUGUCUCUGGCCACCGAGCAGAGCCAGUGACAGCAGCGUUCUGGUAGGCAGGCAGGCGUAUCAGGUUUCAGAGGAUGCGGCUGGGAACGGGAGUAGAGGUGAGGGGUCGUUGCAUCUGUCGCGGUGUGUAUCUUUUGGGGGUUCAGCGCCACCAGCGACUUGGGCCUCAUUCAUCGCGCUUACAAUUCUCCACCUCAUUUGAAGAACAAGCUUCGUAGCCCACGGAGCUGAGGUAUAUGAGCUCCCUGAAAGCACAAAGCAGUUAUUUCCAUCUUCAGAUCAUUCAGAGAUUAUGAAGGCACAAACCCUGCCUUCAAUUUGCUUAUAGUCAAGUGGAGCAGACACAAGUAAAUGAUUGCAGUAUAGCCACUUAAGUAAUCUAAAAGAGGUGGGGAGGCCACAGCUUGUAUGAAUGACUUUCUCAGGAGUUAUAAAGUGAUACAGACUUAUCAGCAGGUUGCAGGUGAACAUGGCCUUGAGGUAAAUCUGUCCCUUGCUGAAUACAGUUUCAGUAGAUUGUUUAUAGUAGUUUCAGGAAUUGAGAUUUUUUACAAAAAUACAAAAGUUUUGCUUGGUUCUGUUCUAGAUGUUUUCUUCUAAAUAAAUGAGAAAGAUGUUUCAACAAAGGCUCUUUAUGCUGAAUAAUUGUGAUGCUUGAAGUUGCUAAUCUGCUUUAAGUGGAUUUUAAAUGUCAGGCAAUUCUAGACAGUUUUUUCUUGGUCAAAUAAAAAUUUAAUUAAAACUU
This 790-nucleotide non-coding RNA is filed under the name Pan troglodytes (chimpanzee). The record is from RNAcentral. Lineage: Eukaryota; Metazoa; Chordata; Mammalia; Primates; Hominidae.